RNAcentral lists this ribosomal RNA (774 nucleotides) under Pediococcus pentosaceus. Its description in RNAcentral is "bacterial SSU rRNA". It matches the Rfam family "Bacterial small subunit ribosomal RNA", at positions 24 to 754 of the family's 1533-position model. Lineage: Bacteria; Bacillati; Bacillota; Bacilli; Lactobacillales; Lactobacillaceae. The record is from RNAcentral.
UCAGGAUGAACGCUGGCGGCGUGCCUAAUACAUGCAAGUCGAACGAACUUCCGUUAAUUGAUUAUGACGUACUUGUACUGAUUGAGAUUUUAACACGAAGUGAGUGGCGAACGGGUGAGUAACACGUGGGUAACCUGCCCAGAAGUAGGGGAUAACACCUGGAAACAGAUGCUAAUACCGUAUAACAGAGAAAACCGCAUGGUUUUCUUUUAAAAGAUGGCUCUGCUAUCACUUCUGGAUGGACCCGCGGCGUAUUAGCUAGUUGGUGAGGUAAAGGCUCACCAAGGCAGUGAUACGUAGCCGACCUGAGAGGGUAAUCGGCCACAUUGGGACUGAGACACGGCCCAGACUCCUACGGGAGGCAGCAGUAGGGAAUCUUCCACAAUGGACGCAAGUCUGAUGGAGCAACGCCGCGUGAGUGAAGAAGGGUUUCGGCUCGUAAAGCUCUGUUGUUAAAGAAGAACGUGGGUAAGAGUAACUGUUUACCCAGUGACGGUAUUUAACCAGAAAGCCACGGCUAACUACGUGCCAGCAGCCGCGGUAAUACGUAGGUGGCAAGCGUUAUCCGGAUUUAUUGGGCGUAAAGCGAGCGCAGGCGGUCUUUUAAGUCUAAUGUGAAAGCCUUCGGCUCAACCGAAGAAGUGCAUUGGAAACUGGGAGACUUGAGUGCAGAAGAGGACAGUGGAACUCCAUGUGUAGCGGUGAAAUGCGUAGAUAUAUGGAAGAACACCAGUGGCGAAGGCGGCUGUCUGGUCUGCAACUGACGCUGAGCUC